UACGUAGGGGGCAAGCGUUAUCCGGAUUUACUGGGUGUAAAGGGAGCGUAGACGGCAGUGCAAGUCUGGAGUGAAAGGCGGGGGCUCAACCCCCGGACUGCUCUGGAAACUGUACGGCUGGAGUGCAGGAGAGGUAAGUGGAAUUCCUAGUGUAGCGGUGAGAUGCGUAGAUAUUAGGGGGAACACCAGUGGCGAAGGCGGCUUACUGGACUGUAACUGACGUUGAGGCUCGAAAGCGUGGGGAGCAAACAGG
Molecule: ribosomal RNA, 253 nt
Filed under: uncultured bacterium
Lineage: Bacteria
Description: partial 16S ribosomal RNA
Rfam family: Bacterial small subunit ribosomal RNA
Source: RNAcentral